UGCAGGCUGCAACUCGCCUGCAUGAAGUUGGAAUUGCUAGUAAUCGCGGAUCAGCAUGCCGCGGUGAAUACGUUCCCGGGCCUUGUACACACCGCCCGUCACACCAUGGGAGCCGGUAAUACCCGAAGUCAGUAGCCUAACCGCAAGGGGGGCGCUGCCGAAGGUGGGGUUGAUGAUUAGGGUUAAGUCGUAACAAGGUAAC
This 202-nucleotide ribosomal RNA is filed under the name uncultured bacterium. Its description in RNAcentral is "partial 16S ribosomal RNA". It matches the Rfam family "Bacterial small subunit ribosomal RNA", at positions 1299 to 1500 of the family's 1533-position model. The record is from RNAcentral.